RNAcentral lists this transfer RNA (77 nucleotides) under Candidatus Segetimicrobium genomatis. RNAcentral's name for it is "Terrabacteria group bacterium ANGP1 tRNA-Val". It matches the Rfam family "tRNA". From Rfam's summary of the family: Transfer RNA (tRNA) molecules are approximately 80 nucleotides in length. Their secondary structure includes four short double-helical elements and three loops (D, anti-codon, and T loops). The record is from RNAcentral. Lineage: Bacteria; Bacillati; Candidatus Sysuimicrobiota; Candidatus Sysuimicrobiia; Candidatus Sysuimicrobiales; Candidatus Segetimicrobiaceae.
GGGCGGUUAGCUCAGGUGGCUAGAGCGCAUCCUUGACAUGGAUGAGGUCGGAGGUUCAAGUCCUCUACCGCCCACCA